UUCUGUCUCAAUGAUCUAGAAGAUUGCCUAACUUAUUUUCUUCAAGGAUGUAGAUGUGGCCUGUGUCACAUGGCUCUCAUUGCCUCAUUUCCUGCCACUUCAGACUGUGUCUAUUCUAGGAAGGCUGAGACGUGAUAAGAAGUUUCAGUGGUUCUGAGGUACAGUACUUAAGAUACCCCUGUGAAGGCUGAGAUUGAUAUUUGAAAUUUGCAACUGAUCUUGGAGGCUGGUACAGCAAUCAUGGCUUGCCUCUCUAAUAAACUACCAGUACCCAAGCUCUUAGUUUAAGCUGUGCUUUCAAGGGAGCUCAAACCAAGACACAAAGCUAGAUAUGUUCAUGUGUGGAUGCAAUGGAACUGAGGACACCAGGUUCAUGCCACCUGGAGCAUGAGGCUGACAAAUGGAGAAGCACUGAGUCAAAUGAAUCUUUGAGAAAUGGAGCUGGAAGAAAACUGGGGUAAACCUGUCUCUGAAAGAACACUACCUUUGGAUAUCCAGCAGUAGGACCCAAUAUUUUUUCUUGUUUAAUCUCAUUUGCGUUACUUGCAGCCCAAGGCUCUUAAUGAGGAAAAGGGUCUACCUUGUCCUCUGAAAGUAGCCUCAGUCUCUCCACUCUUCCCUAUUACAAGGGUCAUCUCUUUAAUUCAUAUCCAAUUACUGAUGACCUCCUAACUGAUCUACAUCCUCUCAUUCUCUCCUCUUUCUUAUUCACCUUUCAUACUGUUGCCAGGUGACUUUUCCUAAAAGACAACUUUUGUAAUUUAACUCUACUUCAUAAAAUUUCCAUAAUGGCUUCUUUUUGCUUUUAGUCCAAAUUCCUCAGACAUGUUUUCAAGACUUUUCAUAAUUGAAUUUCUUGUACAUACCCAAGUUGACUUCUCUGUGUUCCCAAAUAUACAACUGACAGUCUUUCCUCCUGAUGCUCUUUCAAAUAAGAAAUGUUUCCUCUAUGUAAAUUCAGUAUAUGUUUUUAGCCUUUAUUCAAGUUCUAGCUUCUUCAUAAACUUCUCCUGAAUAGAGUCAGCCUAUAUCCAUUCAAACAGUCUUUAUUAGGUGCACACUAUGUGCCAGGUACUUAACAGGGCAGUGGAACUAUGAAGACAGAUAGUCAUAGUCCCUCUUGCCUCUGGGAGCAGGCUGUUGAAUGCAAUGCUUUUUAAAGUUUUAAGUAAUGUGCUCAUGCAAAAUCUUAUAGAUAUAAAUUUGAAUUUACAGAGUUUAACUACCAAGCUAGUGAGACUUAAUGUUUCAAUUAAUAAAAAGUUGGAAAUCAAGGUGUAUAGAUAAGUAGUCUUAUAUUUAGCCUCAACAUGCAAUUUAUGUCAUAUUUUAUUA
Sapajus apella (tufted capuchin) is the source of this 1335-nucleotide long non-coding RNA. RefSeq lists it as uncharacterized. NCBI's taxonomy places the organism in Eukaryota, Metazoa, Chordata, Mammalia, Primates, Cebidae. The record is from RefSeq and is a predicted model, not a curated record. The transcript is spliced from 3 exons.